GGGGCUGUGGCUCAGUGGUAGAGUGCUUGCCUUGCUUGUAUGAGGUACUGGGGUGGAUCCUCAGCAUCACA
Molecule: transfer RNA, 71 nt
Filed under: Marmota monax (woodchuck)
Lineage: Eukaryota; Metazoa; Chordata; Mammalia; Rodentia; Sciuridae
Description: tRNA.Ala
Source: RNAcentral